RNAcentral lists this ribosomal RNA (478 nucleotides) under uncultured organism. RNAcentral's name for it is "partial 16S ribosomal RNA". It matches the Rfam family "Bacterial small subunit ribosomal RNA", at positions 331 to 800 of the family's 1533-position model. The record is from RNAcentral.
GUACACUCCUGCGGGAGGCAGCAGUGGGGAAUUUUGGACAAUGGGCGAAAGCCUGAUCCAGCAAUGCCGCGUGUGUGAAGAAGGCCUUCGGGUUGUAAAGCACUUUUGUCCGGAAAGAAAUCCUUGGCUCUAAUACAGUCGGGGGAUGACGGUACCGGAAGAAUAAGCACCGGCUAACUACGUGCCAGCAGCCGCGGUAAUACGUAGGGUGCGAGCGUUAAUCGGAAUUACUGGGCGUAAAGCGUGCGCAGGCGGUUUGCUAAGACCGAUGUGAAAUCCCCGGGCUCAACCUGGGAACUGCAUUGGUGACUGGCAGGCUAGAGUAUGGCAGAGGGGGGUAGAAUUCCACGUGUAGCAGUGAAAUGCGUAGAGAUGUGGAGGAAUACCGAUGGCGAAGGCAGCCCCCUGGGCCAAUACUGACGCUCAUGCACGAAAGCGUGGGGAGCAAACAGGAUUAGAAACCCUUGUAGUCCCAUGA